Molecule: long non-coding RNA, 7222 nt
Organism: Spinacia oleracea (spinach)
Lineage: Eukaryota; Viridiplantae; Streptophyta; Magnoliopsida; Caryophyllales; Amaranthaceae
Exons: 3
Source: RefSeq, a predicted model, not a curated record
GCUACUCGAAAACUUUUUGUUUUGUGGCUAAGUUGGAGUAAGAUUUUUUUUUUCCGGUGGCAUCUAGAAAACUCGAAAACUCACUCCGACGGAAAAUCCGAGGAACCAUUCCUCUUUCUCUAACCUAUUUGUUUCUCUCUCCUCAAAUCUGAGAAAAAAUGACGAUUAAUAUAAUUUCCUCCUCUUUCACACCUCUUUUGCUAACAACAACAACAAUACUACCGACCCUUCCCCCAACCACUCAGAUGAAAUGGAAUUAGGUUCACCACUACAUCGUUUUUAAGAUUGAUGAGAUGUCCGACGGAUUCACUGUCGAUAAGGUCGGCGCCUCCGGUGAGGGUAAAGAAAAUCUCACCGCCUCGCUUCCCGAUUACCAAAACCAAACUACGCAAUCUUUGAUUUUGAGUUGUCACCCUAGAUAACCGUAGCAAGAGAAAGAUAUUCUUCAUUGUUAUUGACGCCUUUAUCUUUUUUUUAAUCCUUUAUUUCUUUCUUUCUUUAUCUUUCUUUUAUUUAGUACUCCAUCACUUGGAUGAUUUAGUUUUGACCUUAAUUUUAUGAUCUUAAUUUUAAACUUAGGUUCAAAACAACAACUAUUUUUAGUUUUUUCUUAUUUUGGGGGAAAUGAUUGGGUUUUUUUUAUUGAAAAUCACAUGAUUUUGAGUUCGAUGAUUUAUGGGAUUUUUCGGGGUUUGUUCAAAUAAUGUUUCUGGGUUUUUACCAUUCAUUACUUCAUGCAAAAUCUUGAUUUAUGGAAAUUGUUGGAUAUUUAGGGGUUGAAUUAGGUGUUGUGAAUUGUAUUUAGAUUGUUGAUUGUCGUUGUUAGUAUUUUUGCAAGUUGGUGAUUUUUGGGUUUACUAAUUGUUUUCACUUGCUAAAUUAGACUGAUUUGUUUAGCUUUAGAUUUAAUUUUUCAUUGUACUAAUUCAAUUUAUUUAUUUAUUUUUGUACUAAUAUGAAAUUAGAUUUGAUUGUUUUUGUUAUUUUUGUGGGAUUGUUCACUUGUUAAUUUGGCUGAUUUGUUUAGCUUUAGAUUUGUUAAUUUGUUUAGUUCUAUUGAGUUUGUGUAAAGACCAUGACUUAUAGGGUUUUAUUCUUAAAAUUAUAUGUCCUUCUAUAAUAUGUCUUUCAUAUACUUCUUUUGUCUUUCUUAUUUAUUUUCAUGCUUAAUUUAACAUUGUGUAAUAAUGAAGUGGGGGCUAUAGUGAAUUUGAGAACAAAUAGUUUAUCUAGAUCAACAUUGCAUAGUUAAAUUCAUUUUGGAUCUGAAGUGUUGGAUUUUACUUUUGUUUCAAAUUAUGUGAAGGUGGGGAAUUGCUUGAUCAAAUUUUGUCCAUAUAACAUUUACUUUAAUCAAUCUUCGAUUCUUUGUCGUUGUGAUUCUAAGAUUGCUUGGUAGUAAGGGGAUUUUUUUUUGCAGAGAUGGAAGGUACCUUGAAAAAGACGCAAAGAUCAUUAUCAAAUAGAUUCUGAACUUCGUAUCAUUCUGUCAUCUCCAGGGUGUUGUUCACCGUGAUCUGAAACUCGAGGAGGAGAUUUCUAAUCUAGAGACUUGAAUCACAACGUGGCCCUCGUACUUAGGUAUUCAAGAUUUUCAAUAAACAGAUUUGUAGAGAUAACUUGCGGGAGAAGUUAUCUAGCAUGGGGAUGUGUUGAGCGUUGUUUUCUCCUGCAUUCUAAACUCUAUUAUUUUCUGUUAGUCUAGACUAUUAAAACAUUUUUCCUAAUGGAUUCUUAAUUGAUUUGGUUUUGGGCCAUUAUGGUUCCAACUUGUAUGGAGGCCAUUAACUAUUACUAAAUGUUUUGAAUGUUAGCUAUAAUUCCGCUGCGUAAUUCUGGUACUAGCCUUAACCGUUAUCACGCUGGCGGUAAUACUUUAGUAAUUCCUUGAUUUUAAGUUGGAAAAUGGUUUAAUAAAGACAAGGAAUUAUUAAGGUGUUACACUUGGCGCUUGCCUCAAGCCCACACGCGCAGGCCUUGCUAGGCGAUGGACCUUGUGCCUGGCGUUGGCCUAUCGAGCCUUGCAGGAAUGCUCGUUGAGCGAUGGGCUGGCUCGCUUGCCGGCUUGUCUCUCGUCGUGCUUCCGAUUCGUUUUCUGAUUCCAUAAUUUAUUUAUGAUUCGAACGAUAUUUACGUUUCCGAUAACAUUUCCGAUUCCGACAAUAUUUUCCAAUUUGGACAAUAUUUCCUAUUUCGAUAAUAUAUCCGUUUCCGGCAAUAUUUCUGAUUCCGACAAUAUUUCUACUUCACUUAAUAUUUUCCGAAACGAACCAUAUUUCCGUUUCUGGUAAUAUCUUCGACUUCGAUAAUAUUUAUAUUUCCUUCAUGAACCAUAUUUCUGUUUCUGGCAAUAUCUUCAUUUCCGGCAAAUAUUCUUUCUUUGCCUUUUGAUGAUUUUAGCUCCCACUGAAACCAACAUCCAUCGAUCAUUUCUGAAUGUCCAUAAUUAGAGUAUUUACUGAAUAUUAUAUUCACCUAAGUACUUGAUUCAUUCAUGUACUAUUUGUGUGACCCUAUGGGUUCAGUCAAGGGUAAGCUGUGUCAUUAAUAUUAUUAAUUCCACUUGAACUGAAACAGCUUCUAGCUAGGCAUUUUGAUCACUUGAUCUCACUGAAUAAUUAACUUGUUUAAUAAAUAUUGAACCACAUUUAUUAGACUUUAACAUAAUGAUGCCCUUAGUCCAAGUCUGCAUUUAAUGCUAAGUGCCUAAGUCUAAUAAAUGCGGUUAAAUAUGAAUUAAGCAAGUUAAUUAUUCAGUGUGAUCAAGUGAUCUGAAUGCCUAGCUAGAGGUCACUUCAGUUCAAGUGGAAUUAAUGUUAUUACUGCCACAACAUACUCUUGACUGAACCCGUAGGGUCACACAAAUAGUACGCGAAUGGAUCAAGUAUUUGGGUGAAUAUUAUAUUCAGUAAAUACUCUAAUUAUGGAUAUUCGGAAAUGACGGAUGUUGGUUUCAGUGGGAGCUAAACAAACUGUCAAAAGGCAAAGAAAGAAUAUUUGCCAGAAAUGAAGAUAUUACCGAAAACGGAAAUAUGGUUCGUAUCGGAAAUAUUAUCGGAAAUAGAAAUAUUGUUAGAAUCGGAAAUGUUGCCGCAAAAGGAAAUAUUACCGGAAUUGGAAAUAUUGUCGAAAUCGGAUUUAUUGUCGGAAUCGGAAAUACUAUCGGAAACGUAAAUAUUGUUCGAAUUGAUUUUUUUUUGAAUCGGAAAACAAAUCGGAAGCACGAAUCGUGCGACGAGCUAUCGUACGUACGAUGGCCUAUCACUCAAUGGGUCGUGGCAGCAACGCCAAGCUGUUGGGCUAGCGCGCCAACAAGCAAGGGUCAGCGCUGCUGGCCAGCACGCAUGGCAGCAACAAGCUGGGCUGCACUAUUGUGCUGUUAGGCCGCUGCUUGUGCUAGCACGCAUGGGCAACUUGCGUGCCAAGCUCCCUUUCUAUGAAAGCAGCUUGUGCGCGUGCCAAGCUGUCGGUUGCCUUAAAUGGUUUAUUUGGGUUUUGGUAUUUUUGUGAAAAUUUCCUAAAACUUAAAAUAAAGAUUUUGUGCAUGUUUCCUAAAAACUAAUGUUUCCUAAACUUUAAUAUUAAGGUUAUGAAAACUUAGGGUUUUCCUAUUUCCUAUAUAUACGUGGUCUAUGAUCAUAAUAUACACAUGAGUUUUAAUAGUUUGCCUAUCACAUUAAAAGUGAGAUCCCAAAUUAAUAAUACCUUAGAUUAAAUCCUAUUGAUUGAACCUAAGGCGGAUCCGAACGUGUUGUGGACUUUCUACGGAGGGACGACGUUUGGCGUUCUAACUUGUUCUUAUUCGGUUCGGGAACACCUAGGGAAGGCACGCAUCACAAAUUGUGUUCACUAAAUUAUUCUAAAUGAUUAUGUGCAUUUGGCAUUUAUGGUUUAUUCCGCAUGACAUUAGAUUGUUCAUAACCUAACACUUUAUGAUUUCCUUCCAAGUGGAUUUUAUACUUCUGAAUCUUUGACCUGGCCAAAUAGAUUCAAACUUAUAUCACAUUGAGUAAAUAAACCAAUAUUCACUCAAAUCCAGGUGAAAUAAUAAAGUCAAAAAAUCUUACUUUAGCUUUGAACUCUAUUGUGUAGGAGUUCUAACAAUAGUUUAUUUCUUUUGUUACUUUCAACAAGUAAGAGUAGCUUGUCUUGAAUGAUCUAGAAAUCAAUAAACUUUCAAAAAUCCAUCAAAUUAGAGUUUUACAAUGUUAACUUGUUGAUAUGGUCUAAAUAACAAUGCCAAAGAUUAGUGUAACUCAAAUCAAGAGAUUGAUUUGAACCUAGUAAAGUUUUUAUUGUUAAAGAGUUGUUUGUUUUAAUCAAGCAUACACGAAUAAACCUGUAAAUGACCAUUUCAUACAAACAAUCAAACAGUGUUUUUUUAUACGUUGAAUGUGAGUCUUUCUGUGUUUGGAACAGAAAUUUAGGUAUGUCGAUUAUGGAACAAAGUAGCCAUUAAGUUCCAUCCUUGAAGGGACUUAAAACAAACUAGAUGACCCUACAACUAAUGUAGCAAUGCCAUGCUUCAUUUCCCACUUGUAGGUCAUUAGUGUAGCCUAGCUUCCAUCAUUUGAGUUAUUACCGAAGUAAGAACCUCAAGCGGUAUACGAUACCAAGGAAGUUUGAUUGCUAGGUUACUUUUCUUUAAACAUAAACUUAUAGGUAGAAACAGAAUUGUAAAUUCCUUUCACUUGUUCCUUGUUUUCCUAUUUCUUGUACCCUUUCUUAUAGUAUGAAGAAUUGACUUCUUUAGUGUUGACUUUUAUAAUUUUUUAGACAUGUCCAAUGUCACUUCAACAAAGUUCUUACCAUUUUAUUUUUUUUGAAUAUUUUACUUCAGCUAGAUGAUCUCACAAGAAUCUUCUAAAUUUGUCUAAGCAUCGAUCUAUUCGAAUGUCUACGGGCUAGACUCAUUCGAGAAUUAAAUGGACAAAGAUAUUAAGUUUUUAACCAUUGCUAAAGUUGAGUGUUAAACUCAAUGCUUUAUGAUCUCAAAACUACAUUGUAUUUUGAAUCUACAAGCACCAAUUGAUUUGACAUUCGACUUUGUUAGUCGAAAAAACACAUAAAAGUCUCUAUAAGAAACGUAUAUUUUAAAUUACUCAUUUUCUCUCAUUUCCGUGAAUCAUUUUGGAUUCACUACCAAUCAAGGAAAUUUGCUGUUACCUUUCUAAACGGAUUUAUUGCAGUGGAAGAUAUUUCAUUAUAAACAAUAAUUGAAGCAUGCAAAUUCUAAAAAUUUAUCAUGAGUAAUAACUUGAAAAUUAAAGCAAUUAUGCAAUUUAAACAAGUCAUUAACAUUUUAUUCGAAAUAUUUAGUUCCGAAAGGUGUGAAUAAAAUGAAUCCAAGAUCCUCAAAUCAUUGAAAAUUAAUGUAACACCCUAAUAAUUCCUUGCUUUUUAUAAAACAUUUUCCAACUUGAAACACAGGAAUUACCAAGAUAUUACCGCCACCGUGAUAACAGCUAAGACUAUUUACCAGAAUUACGCAGCGGAAUUAACUAACUUUCAAAACAUAUUAAAUAAAGAGUUAAUGGUUAUUAAAACAAGUUGGAACCACUGAGGCUCAAUCCAAAUAAACCGUUUAAAAAUCCAUUAACUGAAAAUAGUAGUCAUGACUUUAAAAUAAAAUAAAGAGUUUAUAAAUUACGUAAGAAUAGAACUCUCAACUCGAAUCCCAUGAUAACUUCUCCCGCAAGUUAUCUCUACAAACCUGCGUUAUUGAAAAUCUAUUCCCUAACAACGCAAAUGCAAUUGAUGGAUCAUCAUAGGGUAAUUAAGGCGAAGGCCAUGACUAAAAGACAUGAAGCACGAAGUCAGCGAAAGCUGAGUACGGACAAGCUAAAAUAACAUUCUAUCCUAACAUGCUUCACUCGGCAAUAUUAAAUAAUCAACAUGCAAAAGCCAUAUAAUAAACAAUUAAACAUGGAGACAAGACUCGACACAUGACACGACUCUUGACUCACAGUUUAAUAAAAAGUAGCUUCGAACGGGUAAAUUAAAGUAUCCUCAAAAGGAAAGAAAAGGGUGAUGGGAGCCAGUGGCGGAUUUAGAAAAAAUAUUUAGUGGGUGCAAAAUAGAAAUUACAAACUUUAGUGGGUUCAAAUAAUUAAUUUUAUAACAAAUUUUGAAGAAAAUCUUAAAAAUAUAAAGAAAUUUUUUAAAUUUUCACAAUUCAAGUGGGGUCAAUUGACCCCAAUCUUUCUACAUUGGCUCCGCCCCUGAUGGGAGCCCACCAUGCACCACAUAAUAAUAAGUCGGACUCCUACCGACAGUCGGAUCCUACCGACGGAAUUCCAAUGCACAAAGGCCUAAAAAGAAAGAAUGAAACAACGUCUUGUAUCAUUCGAGGAGUACAAGUUUUCCGGCAAGUCUCCCCCCAUUGUUCAUACUCAAGGUAUAUACGUUCCAAGAGUUUUGAAGCUCCUUUGGGUUACACUUUACGUUAAUUAAUAUGUUAUGUUCAAGGCGACUCAAGACACAACAUACAAACAAUUAAACAAUUAAACAAUUCAAAAAUGACUCUUCAAUAUUUUACUUCUUUAAGACUUGUGAUCAAACAUAGACUCAAGUGAAAUUACUCCCAUUGUUCCUUCUCAAAAACACUGUUUGAGAUAACCCGACAUUGCCUAUUAACAAGCGGGGUGUGCCCUUAACACGAAUUGUCCUUAAUUCAAUUCACAUAGACUCUUCAACAUAUUCUACCCCUUGGUAGAAUAUAUGUUGCUCACUGGCAACAUUCGAUUGGCUCAAUAAUUAUGCUAGACAUCCUGUAUCAUAGCAUAAUAAUAAUAAUAACAACUUGCAUGCGCACUAAUCAUACAUGCAAACCAACUUGAACAACAUGCUUGACAUAAUUCAACGAUUAUAAAAGUCCAUAACAUGAUAGUUCAAUAGAAUCUAUAAAGCAUAAUUCAAUUCAUAACAUGCUCAUUCACAUAGAUUCAACAAUAAUAACAACAUGCUUGUUCUCAAUCAUUAAACCUGAAUUCAUAACAACAUAAUUAUUCCCAAUCAUCAACAUGAAUUCAUAACAUCAAAAGUUUACAUGAUUCGCAUUCAAUACACUUCAUAAAGUCCUCAAGGGAUGGGUGGUCACCCUAGUCUUGUACGUACCUGGAAUACCUAAGUACGGGGGCCACUGUGCGAAUCACGACUCACUAGAAAUCAACUCCUAUAAAACAAAAUAUAAGAGAACUAAAUUAUUAUCCAUGUUUACUAA